GGACCCCUUCCCGCCGGUGCCGGGAUCUUGGGACCCAGGCAAGGAGGGGCUGCGGCUCCUGAGCUCUCACCCAACCCUGCAGGCCGGGUGUCAUCUCAUGCAACAGCUGACGGUGACGCCUCCACCACUCUGGUGUCACUUUUAACACUGCACGUUCACACCACCGGCUGACUGUCUGCGCAAGGCGGCCCCAGCAGAGCCGCGUGCAGCCGCACCCCACAUGUGCAGUUGUGAAGCCGGCAGUUGUUCAGCAGGUUCUCAUGGCCUCACUUCCAGACGUGUUACUUCUGGAGGGAACAACACCACGGAACUGCCAAGCUCUCCCAAGAAGGAACGACAGGACCUGCCUGUCCCGUGUCGGCCUGGAGGGGGAGGGGAGGCGUUUCGGAGCGAUGGCAUGCAACGACCUGGGCCCUGGACCUCCGCUACCUGCACACAGUUCCCUACGUUAGAAGAACAAGAGGAGGAAGAGAAAAAGGAAGAGGGAAAUCAUGUCACCGUGCCACUAAACCCUUCUAUUAAAUCUGCCUGUUCACCACGUUUUCAGGCUAUUUCAUGAUGUAAUAGUAAGAGACAAAAGCAACAGCCGCACCCCUAUACACGAUGUGAUCUCAGUUGUGCAGCGUGUGCCGGGCAUGAUCACUCUUCACCUACAUCAGACUCCCGCCACUUUCAGGCGGCUGGAGGAUUCACUUCCUCCUCUCCCGAGAACAGGCUUGGCUACGUGACUUGCUUUGGCUAAUGAAAUGUGACGGACGUAAUGCGUCACUUCCGGUGCCGUAUUUAAUUGCUGGCGCUCCCCUCCCCAGCCCACUCUCCUGCCUCAGCAGCCUUCGGAGGUGGCUGAUCUGCAGCGCCCGGAAGAUGGCAAGGGCCACCGCAGUGGGGAGGGCACCCCUGAGAGUCCCCCAGACUCCAGUGACCUGGCCCCCUGUCCUCGUGCUCCCCCGGGCCAGCUGAUGUCCUGGCUGUGUGCAUAGGAGAAGUCCUGCAAUUUCUCUUCAUCAUCCUGAGAUUUCCCUUCACUUCUCUCCUACGUUGCUGGUUCCUUGUUUCUUAGAUCCUAAGCCAUCUUCCUUCUUGGUUCACUCCCUUCGUUGUUUAACGUGUAUGCCAGUAGCUUCCUUGGAAACUGCAUAUGGGAGUUCAGUUUGGGGAUAAUUGAUUGACAGUUUGGCUAGAUGCAUAAAUCUUGGUUGGAAAUCAUCUUCCUCCAGAAUUCUCAAGGCAGUUCUCUAUUGGCACGUGGCGUUCUGGGUUGAUGUUAAAAAGUCUGACGCCAUUCUGGUUCCUGAUCCUCAUUACGUGACCUUUUCAGUCUCUGAAAGCAUCUAGAAUCUGCUCUUUAUCUCUGAUGUUCUAAAAAGUUACUUAAUAAAAUUCAACAUUUAUUCUGAUAAAAAAGCUUCUAUUUAGGUCUAAUUGAGCUAGGUUGAUUCUGUCAUGACUCAAAAUUUAGUCACUAUAAAAAU
RNAcentral lists this long non-coding RNA (1472 nucleotides) under Equus caballus (horse). Its description in RNAcentral is "lncRNA (ENSECAG00000044622.1)". The record is from RNAcentral. Lineage: Eukaryota; Metazoa; Chordata; Mammalia; Perissodactyla; Equidae.